CAGAAUUGCAGGCUUUGUACUGAGGAUGUAUUUUGUGUCCCGCCUUCCCACCUGAGGACGUCUGACCAGGUUACUUUGCCAGAAGCCCCCUCAGAGAACUUUACUACCAAGGAUGAUGUAUGAGCUGGAGACAACGGCUUUACUGUCCAAUGCCCACACUGAGUUCACUGCAUGGGCAGGACCAUGUGGAAUUCAUCAGCACUGUGAAGCCCUGGAGUGAGAAGAGCUGCCAUGGACUUAGAGCUUAGAGGCCUUUGGAAACCAUGGUGAUGCUG
This 275-nucleotide long non-coding RNA is filed under the name Numida meleagris (helmeted guineafowl). RNAcentral's name for it is "lncRNA (ENSNMEG00000008485.1)". Lineage: Eukaryota; Metazoa; Chordata; Aves; Galliformes; Numididae. The record is from RNAcentral.